Molecule: ribosomal RNA, 324 nt
Filed under: uncultured eukaryote
Lineage: Eukaryota
Description: partial 18S ribosomal RNA
Rfam family: Eukaryotic small subunit ribosomal RNA
Source: RNAcentral
CCCUUAGAUGUUCUGGGCCGCACGCGCGCUACACUGAUGCAUUCAACGAGUUUCUUCCUGGUCCGAGAGGAAUGGGUAACCUUUUGAAAGUGCAUCGUGAUAGGGAUAGACUAUUGCAAUUAUUGGUCUUCAACGAGGAAUUCCUAGUAGACGUAGUUCAUCAGACUGCAUCGAUUACGUCCCUGCCCUUUUUACACACCGCCCGUCGCUCCUACCGAUUGAAUGCUCAGGUGAGCCAUUCGGACUUUCAUCAUGCUGGUUUCCAGUUUUGAUGAAGGAAAGUCUUGCGAACCUUAUCAUUUAGAGGAAGGAGAAGUCGUAACA